AGGGCAAUAGCUGGGUCAAAUGGUGAUUCCAUUCCCAGCUUUCCCAGGAAUCUCCAUACUGCUUUCCAAAUUGGCUGCACCAAUUUUCAGUCCCACCAGCAAU
This 103-nucleotide microRNA precursor is filed under the name Marmota monax (woodchuck). The record is from RNAcentral. Lineage: Eukaryota; Metazoa; Chordata; Mammalia; Rodentia; Sciuridae.